This 296-nucleotide unclassified non-coding RNA is filed under the name Hevea brasiliensis (rubber tree). Lineage: Eukaryota; Viridiplantae; Streptophyta; Magnoliopsida; Malpighiales; Euphorbiaceae. The record is from RNAcentral.
UAGCUUUGAUCCCUUAAUACAAAGGGGAUUAUAAAAGUUAUUGAAUAUUCUUUGUUGGUUAAAAUAUUUUAUAUUUUGGAGUUGAGAGAAGAAAAGCAGAAUAGAAGUGUUGUUUUAUGUUUACCCAUGGGAUGCUGAUUGAAUUGGAUCAUAAAAUGGAAACGGUUGUUGAAGACAUAUUUAUUGACUGGUCUAGCUGGAAAAAGGAUCUAGUAUCCACCAUAUUUUCCUAGUCAUAUAAGUUCGGUUUUCACCAUAUACUAGAGGCAAUUAGCAUACUGGUCCAUAAUUUUUUA